CUACGGGAGGCUCCAGUGGGGAAUAUUGCACAAUGGGCGCAAGCCUGAUGCAGCCAUGCCGCGUGUAUGAAGAAGGCCUUCGGGUUGUAAAGUACUUUCAGCGGGGAGGAAGGGAGUAAAGUUAAUACCUUUGCUCAUUGACGUUACCCGCAGAAGAAGCACCGGCUAACUCCGUGCCAGCAGCCGCGGUAAUACGGAGGGUGCAAGCGUUAAUCGGAAUUACUGGGCGUAAAGCGCACGCAGGCGGUUUGUUAGGUCAGAUGUGAAAUCCCCGGGCUCAACCGGGGAACUGCACCUGAACUGGCAAGCUUGAGUCUCGUAGAGGGGGGUAGAAUUCCAGGUGUAGCGGUGAAAUGCGUAGAGAUCUGGAGGAAUACCGGUGGCGAAGGCGGCCCCCUGGACGAAGACUGACGCUCAGGUGCGAAAGCGUGGGGAGCAAACAGGAUUAGAUACCCGGGUAGUC
Molecule: ribosomal RNA, 463 nt
Filed under: uncultured bacterium
Lineage: Bacteria
Description: partial 16S ribosomal RNA
Rfam family: Bacterial small subunit ribosomal RNA
Source: RNAcentral